This 217-nucleotide ribosomal RNA is filed under the name uncultured bacterium. RNAcentral's name for it is "partial 16S ribosomal RNA". It matches the Rfam family "Bacterial small subunit ribosomal RNA", at positions 122 to 334 of the family's 1533-position model. The record is from RNAcentral.
UAACCUGCCUAUUAGAGGGGGAUAACUAUUGGAAACGAUAGCUAAUACCGCAUAACAGUAUGUAACACAUGUUAGAUGCUUGAAAGAUGCAAUUGCAUCGCUAGUAGAUGGACCUGCGUUGUAUUGGCUAGUAGGUAGGGUAAUGGCCUACCUAGGCGACGAUACAUAGCCGACCUGAGAGGGUGAUCGGCCACACUGGGACUGAGACACGGCCCAG